RNAcentral lists this ribosomal RNA (1369 nucleotides) under uncultured Bacteroidota bacterium. Its description in RNAcentral is "uncultured Bacteroidetes bacterium 16S ribosomal RNA". It matches the Rfam family "Bacterial small subunit ribosomal RNA", at positions 29 to 1399 of the family's 1533-position model. The record is from RNAcentral. Lineage: Bacteria; Pseudomonadati; Bacteroidota.
AUGAACGCUAGCGGCAGGCCUAAUACAUGCAAGUCGAGGGGUAAGAGUCAGCUUGCUGACUACACGACCGGCGCACGGGUGCGUAACGCGUAUGCAACCUACCUUUAACAGAGGAAUAGCCCCGAGAAAUCGGGAUUAAUACCACAUAACAUUAUGAUAUGGCAUCAUAUUAUAAUUAAAACUCCGGUGGUUAAAGAUGGGCAUGCGUGACAUUAGCUAGUUGGUGAGGUAACUGCUCACCAAGGCUACGAUGUCUAGGGGUUCUGAGAGGAUGAUCCCCCACACUGGUACUGAGACACGGACCAGACUCCUACGGGAGGCAGCAGUAAGGAAUAUUGCGCAAUGGAGGCAACUCUGACGCAGCCAUGCCGCGUGCAGGAUUGAAGGCCUUAUGGGUCGUAAACUGCUUUUAUUUAGGAAUAAACUUUCGUACGUGUACGAAACUGAAGGUACUAAACGAAUAAGCACCGGCUAACUCCGUGCCAGCAGCCGCGGUAAUACGGAGGGUGCAAGCGUUAUCCGGAUUUAUUGGGUUUAAAGGGUGCGCAGGCGGACCAAUUAGUCAGUGGUGAAAUCCCGAGGCUCAACCUCGGAACUGCCAUUGAUACUGUUGGUCUUGAAUACGGUUGAAGUAGGCGGAAUGUAGCAUGUAGCGGUGAAAUGCAUAGAGAUGCUACAGAACACCGAUCGCGAAAGGCAGCUUACUAAACCGAUAUUGACGCUCAGGCACGAAAGCGUGGGGAGCGAACAGGAUUAGAUACCCUGGUAGUCCACGCCGUAAACUAUGAUCACUCGUUGUUGGCAAUACACAGUCAGUGACCAAGCGAAAGCGAUAAGUGAUCCACCUGGGGAGUACGAUCGCAAGGUUGAAACUCAAAGGAAUUGACGGGGGCCCGCACAAGCGGUGGAGCAUGUGGUUUAAUUCGAUGAUACGCGAGGAACCUUACCUGGGCUCAAAUGUAAGUUGACAGUUUCUGAAAGGGAAUUUUCUUCGGACAAUUUACAAGGUGCUGCAUGGUUGUCGUCAGCUCGUGCCGUGAGGUGUCGGGUUAAGUCCCAUAACGAGCGCAACCCCUACUCUUAGUUGCCAUCAGAUAAUGCUGGGGACUCUAGGAGAACUGCCUACGCAAGUAGAGAGGAAGGUGGGGAUGACGUCAAAUCAGCACGGCCCUUACGUCCAGGGCUACACACGUGCUACAAUGGCCGGUACAGAGGGCAGCCACCUGGUGACAGGGAGCGAAUCUCUAAAGCCGGUCUCAGUUCGGAUCGAAGUCUGCAACCCGACUUCGUGAAGCUGGAAUCGCUAGUAAUCGCGCAUCAGCCAUGGCGCGGUGAAUACGUUCCCGGGCCUUGUACACACCGCCCGUCA